CGUGUAUAAAUUUAGCAAAGCGAUCCUAUCUCAAGAAAAAUCACAUAGAUGAUAACGUACAAAUCACAUUUACUGAAAAAUAUUUACCAAUAGUGGAAUGGUAGAAGAAUAGUUUCAAAGUUUCGAUUUAUUAUUUACUGUUGUGAUUUUCUUGAAUAACAUUGAUGUUAUUGUUUAGUGUCGUAAUUCGGAUUUUAAGUAUAAUACAAGUCCAAACAUAUACUCCAUAGACAUACUAUCACACAAAAAAAGUCAGAUAAACAUUCUUAACUUUUAUAUUGACUUAGCAGUUUUAUGCUUUUGUAGAUAUCUCGUGCAUUAGCACGGACACACACUAGUUUAUGAUUAUAAUAGAUCCCUUACAAAAAUAUUUAGUUAUUCAGAAUGAGAGUCUGGUUGGAUGGAAUUUGCAUGGAAUAGACAAAUGGAGUUGGGCUUAAGUUUCUUUAUCUGCAAUGAUGGACUAUCCGACAGUUUAUCAUUGCCAGUGUGGCCCAACGAAGUACCAUGAUUAUUUUUAAUUUUUGAACAUCAAAUAAUACUUCGUAUUUUCUAAUAUCUUAAAUUCUCAGGUCAAAGCCUCAAAGGGGCCAGGGAAAAAGGUCUUAUUAGCAACUCUCUCAAGCAAGUCAUCCUUCAAAAGAAAUGGUGAGGUUUGAACCUGUGACCUCAAAGUUACAAGAUGAGUUCUUUACCAUCUCCGACGAACUUACUUGAUUAACGUGGAAUGAAUAGGCAUCAAGUGGAAAUGACAUACGGAAUACUGUUGCAAUACACAAACUAGCAUAUGUAGGGCUGGUAUAGAUAGUUCUUGUCACCAAAUAUAGAACGCAAAUUAAUUCAUGUACCCGUGCUAGACUAAACCUUUCUUUUUGGUAGGUUAGUACCCGGAGUAAAGAAAAAGGGUAUUUCCUAUAUUAUGAAGGAAACAGAGAUUCGGAGAAGGACUAUACCAUUGAAUGAAUAUACAAACACCAAUAUCAAUGUAAUCCAUCUGUUGAAACUGAUUUCACAUCUCAAAAGAGCUAAUUGAAAGAGUGAAAGAUGAAACUAACCAGUAUAAAUAUUUAUAUAUAUCGAUUUCUUUAUUCUCUGUCCGCGCUCUGGAUUCAUUUGAAUCAAGAAAAAUCCGUGUCAAGUGGAAGACUAAGAAUCAUAAUGGUAUUGAAGUGCAUUGCCUCGGAUGAAAAUUUUCUUCUGAUAAUAACUUUGUGACAAGGUGUUUGAGCCUCUCUGCACCGGGACCUGGUCUAAGUUCAGCAGUGCUAUUUACCACUGCAGAAGAUAAAGAACCGACUGUACUGUUUGCGUUUUCUCUGACUAACCAUUUUCCAGGCACAAAUCCAUUGGCAUCACAACCCAAAAGCUCAGAAUCGAUCUUAU
Spinacia oleracea (spinach) is the source of this 1383-nucleotide long non-coding RNA. RefSeq lists it as uncharacterized. The transcript is spliced from 2 exons. Lineage: Eukaryota; Viridiplantae; Streptophyta; Magnoliopsida; Caryophyllales; Amaranthaceae. The record is from RefSeq and is a predicted model, not a curated record.